RNAcentral lists this ribosomal RNA (490 nucleotides) under uncultured bacterium. RNAcentral's name for it is "partial 16S ribosomal RNA". It matches the Rfam family "Bacterial small subunit ribosomal RNA", at positions 30 to 507 of the family's 1533-position model. The record is from RNAcentral.
AUUGAACGCUGGCGGCAGGCCUAACACAUGCAAGUCGAACGGUAACAGGAAGCAGCUUGCUGCUUUGCUGACGAGUGGCGGACGGGUGAGUAAUGUCUGGGAAACUGCCUGAUGGAGGGGGAUAACUACUGGAAACGGUAGCUAAUACCGCAUAACGUCGCAAGACCAAAGAGGGGGACCUUCGGGCCUCUUGCCAUCGGAUGUGCCCAGAUGGGAUUAGCUAGUAGGUGGGGUAACGGCUCACCUAGGCGACGAUCCCUAGUUGGUCUGAGAGGAUGACCAGCCACACUGGAACUGAGACACGGUCCAGACUCCUACGGGAGGCAGCAGUGGGGAAUAUUGCACAAUGGGCGCAAGCCUGAUGCAGCCAUGCCGCGUGUAUGAAGAAGGCCUUCGGGUUGUAAAGUACUUUCAGCGGGGAGGAAGGGAGUAAAGUUAAUACCUUUGCUCAUUGACGUUACCCGCAGAAGAAGCACCGGCUAACUCCGUG